This 26858-nucleotide long non-coding RNA is filed under the name Fragaria vesca (wild strawberry). Its description in RNAcentral is "long non-coding RNA (FVES_LNC000267)". Lineage: Eukaryota; Viridiplantae; Streptophyta; Magnoliopsida; Rosales; Rosaceae. The record is from RNAcentral.
ACGGGCACAAGUCAUGUAACCAAUUUGAUUGGUAAAACUUGGAUGGUAGGGACCUAUCCUACCCAGCGAUAGCCAAGGAACAUAACCAUACCCCUUUGGUAGAGGACGCUUCUCAGUUUUGGCCAUUUUGACAGAGUGUCGGGGACAGGUGCAGCAGGUGCAGCGAGAAGAAUUCCGUUUUCGUUUACGUGACUUUUUAGAAGACGUUUGGGAUUCCUCUGAUAAAAUGGCAAAACCAAAAGGAUGAGUAAUGACUAUAAGGAAUGUGGAUUCAAUGAUCAAAUGAACAAAUCGCAGUUUUCUUCAAAAGUUGAAGAGCAUAGCUGUCAACUUUUCAUUUAGUGUAAUGCAGUAAGUAGAAACAAUUUAUAACCCUAGGUCUAGAACGGAGCAUCUCACAUACAAUAGGCCAUACAAUAGGCAUUAAUCACACCGGAAUAGUAGAGAGAGAGAUUAUUUUUUUUUGACGAAAGGAAUAGUAGAGAUUUAAAAGAAACAAACAGCAGCAGAAAUUGGUAAAAUUUGGAACAGCAGCAGAAAUUGGUAAAAUUUUCCAAAUUUUACCAAAAAAAAAAGAAAAGUAAAUCAUUAUGUGCAUAUACAAGUACUAUUGCAGUAUAAAUUUAUUUUCAGAGUUUUCAUCAAUAAGUUUCAAUUCAAAUAACAUGUCUGUAUUACCUUUAUCAGUCACCAUCUGUUUCCCGCCGUCGAUCUGCUUGUCGCCGUCGAUCUGUUUUUCGCCGUCGAUCUGUUUGUCGGGGAUGAAAUCCGGGUCGCUGAGAUCCGAGUCGCUGACAUCCACUUCGCUGGAAUCCAGAUCGCUCAUAUCGGAACUGCUGUAGAACGAUCGUUCCGUUUUGGUGUCCGUCAUCGUCUCUAGCUUUGUAAAAUUUGGGAUUCGAGGGAUUUGGUAUACGAGGGAUACGGGAUUUGGGCGGAGGUUUUCGUUGCCUUUUAUAGUCGUACUGCCCUUUAUCUUUAUCCUUAUCUUGGUGGGAUACGCCUUUAAAGUACAAAGCCCAAAUGGCCCAAUCCAAAAUCUGCACACUUCUAGCCCAACAACCCGGACAGCUUCGAAACAAGACGAGAUGACGCAAAGGAAAGAAUACUAAAAAUAAAAAUAAAGAGAUAAACAUAGCCCGGGACCUAAAUUUUGGUGGCAAGAUCAACAUGAUACCGCAUUCAUAAUUCUACCAUCGUGAUACCUGAUGUCAUAUAAGGGAUCUCCGUCUAUUUUCAUUAAUUGUUCCGUUAAAAGUAUACCAAAAAGACCAAAAUAACUUCUUUUUUAUAUUUUGUCUUUUUGUGCAUUUUUAUUUAAUUAAAAAUCAAAUAGAGCAUGAUGGGUGUAGAACAUUGAAUUUGUUUAUUUAACAUACUAUAAAUAUAUAAAUCUAUCAUCUUUACUCAAAAGUAAACAGUUAAUUUUUUAUCAUCAGUUAGAGAAUUCAUCUAUAACAGAUUAUAUUUUUCAUCAGACUGCAGAUAAAUUUAUAAAGAUUUAUAAGUAGAGAGAAAAAAGUUAAGAAAUCUAAAAGAGUUCUGAUCUAAACUUCAUAGAAGUACUAAUAAUUAUUAGGAUAUUAUAUUUCAAAUCUAGAAAAGGAUUUAUCAAGUUGAAAAAGAAAUCAAAAUCAAAAUUCUCAAAGAGACUCUUGAGGAAGAACAAAAUCUCUUGAUUAUCUGAGCAUCGGUUAGAUCCGCCCUAGGUGGUAUCAAAACCUGUUUUUCUAAAAAACAGGUAAUGCAAAAGACUUAUGCCAUAGAGUGGCUUCUCUUGACAAAUAAAAGAAAAUCCAAAUUUAAAAAUUAUCAGUCCUACUAUACUGUUGUUGAGUAAAAAUGUGCACGAAGUGUAAAUGUCACCCAACAUAAUUUCAUUCGUAUUCAUUAACAGAAUAGAGUUUUAAUUAUGUCUGGUUCGACCCAUUCAAGACAGAACAUGUCUCUUAAUUACAAUCCCUUGUUAGAAUGAACACCCUUUGAUUCCAUUUAUCAAGAAACCAUUGUAGGUUUGUUUGUUUUUGCGGCUGCACCUGAAUUUUGGAAUGGGUUGCCUACGUACCCAGGAGUGGAUCAAGCCACUCGUAGUUCUAGAGUUCCAAUGAGUGAAUGACUUAUUGAAGGGCUUUGAUUUAGGAAUAGAAGUAGUGUUUGAGAUGCGGUUGUAUCCAGAUUAUUUGAUUCCAGAUUGCCUACAUACCCUUGCGGGAUCAAACCGCAUGUAGUUCCGGCAUUUGGGAUUUAAAUGGGUAGGUGACUCAUUUAUUUUGAAUUUGUGUUUGGGAUAUUUGUGAGGGUUUAAAUCCCUUGAAUUUGGUUUGGGUAUUUGAUAUUUGUGGUGUUUGGGUAAAUUUGAUUGGUGGACCCAGAGAUUCAGGUUUUGUGAAUUUGACUGGUGAAGUCGAGAAUUUGAUUUAAGAUUUGUGACUGGUAGAGUCAAGGAUUUGAUUUGAGAUUGGUGGUCGCAUCUAGUGGGUUGCUAGAUUGCCUACAUACCCUUUUGUAGGGAUCAAACCAUUGUAGUUCAGAAAAGUUGGGUAUUUGAGAUUUCUCGGUUUUGUACCCAAGAGUAAUUUCACUUUGAGUCUCGUAUCACUUUUAAAUGAAACUGAAGUUCGGGUAUUUUAAUUUGGACACCCACAGCGUCAGGAAAGCUCCAAGCUUGUUUCAGUUUUGGGGAUGCUUGAUUUAAUUUAAAGAUAUUCACGACGUUUUUCCAACGUCAUUAAAAAGGUAUGAAAUCCAUGACUACGGUAAAGACGGCGAAGUAGAUGACAUUUGUAAAUGUCAUGAAACCCUUAUAAUGACGUUUUCCAAACGUCAUGGAAACUUUUUUUGUACUAGUGAAUAGUACUGUAUUUAAAAAUCAAAUAAAAUAUAAAAAAACAAGACAACUGUGCCUAAGCAACCAGUAUUAGGACUAGGCCAAAAAGAUCCAGAAUGCAACUUAGGUUGCUAGAUUAAAAUAAGACUCACUUAACUUAGUUAACUUAGUAAGGGCCAAGAAUGAUAACAGAAGUUCUAUGACACUCUUAACGGAAGUUCUAUGACACUCUCGAAUAGACAUGAUACUCACAUAUCAUACACCAUUAGCAUAUAUGUGUACAUUACUCGCAACAUUCAAUCUAUAUUAAGUAAUCACACAUUUUAAAAGCCAAAACUACUAUGCUACGUACUAGAGUAAUCUCACAUUUCCAAAGCAAAAACAUAUCAGAAAAGCAAUAACAUGAUUUGCAUUAUUUCAUUCACUGAUGAACAACACAAGAUGCUCUUAUUAACAUGAUUAGGAAACACAUGAAAUCAUCUGAUUACAGUAAAAUCACCUGAAACUCAAUCGCUGAGCUCUUUGCUUAUCAUAUGAUCCUAACAUUUACAGUCCAGAAGUUCCAAGAACACUCACCUGACAUUUUUAAUAAGUACUCAUGUCAGUGUUAUUUGACUUGUAAAUACAUGAAUUAGUAAAGUAGGUGACAAUAUAAGUCACAAUUUGGGUUCAUAUGAUGCAGAGGAAAAAAUAUAUAGAAAUGUUUUUUAAUAUGUAGUUGAAUUCACCUUGGAAAAGCAAAACUGUGUCAUCAUGAUCCAAAAAUUGAAUUAUAGUGACAUAUAGUCUACUAGAUUGACUCAUAAACUUCUCUAAGAUGCAUUUCAGUCCGCAUUCAUGAGUAGGUAUACACAGAAUAAACUCUUGUUCUUUUUCACAAUGUGUUUUCAAAUAAAAACUAUUAGCAGGAAUGUCUUUAAAGCUCAAUAUGGUUCGGUUGCCUCUCAAUACAUAGAGAGCAUAUGUGACGUUGAUCAUGGUGUCAUGAGGCAUCAAGAUUCAAGCUAAACCGCGUCUCUGAAUGACCAGUAUGAUUCAAUUAUUGUAGUCACAGAAGAUUUACAAGGCACAAAAUCCAGAGAUAAUUGUCAGUUCUUUAGAAUGUUGUGGGUAGUUCCACUAUCUGCAAAGCACUCAAUGUCUCAAUGAGACAAAUCUACAAAAUAGAGUCGAUAUGAGAGUAAAUAGUUCCACUUGAACCAUUUAGAGGGAUUGAAAGAAGAUUUACAAGGCACAAAAUCCAGAGAUAGUUGCCGGUUCUUUAGAAUGUUGUGGGUAAUUCCACUAUCUGCGAAGCACUCAAUGUCUCAAUGAGACAGAUCUAUAAAAUAGAGUAGAUAUGAGAGUAAAUAGUUCCACUAGAACCAUUUAGAGGGAUUGAAAAAAGCUACGAAAAGCUGCAAUCCCGAGAGUGCAUAAAAAUUUCUGCGCAUAAUGACCUUUGCGCACUAAAACAGCCAUAACUUCUUCGUUAAAAUAGAUAUGGACGGACCGCGAAAAGUUCUGAAAACUAUGCUCGUAGAGCUUUCCAAUGAUAUAAAGCUCACUGUCUAGUUCGUUUAGAGCUGUUCACAAAGCUCAAACAAAGUUGACUGUCUAGAAGAGACAGAUUGCUGUUUUUCGCAGAUUUGGCAUUAGCAAAGCUUUGAAGCUUGCGGAUGGCAUGUGGGCAUAAGCCAAAGCCAAAAUGACGUGUAUAUGAUCAAAAUCAAGUCCUUUUGGUCUUUCCAAGGUCGUAAACUCUAUGACUAGUUAGGGAAAACUAACUCAGAGGACUUAGAGGAUUCGAUCAUGAUGAUAAUUGUCCGGUUUUGAUAAGUCUUCAACGUCUUUUAAAGCUUUCGGUAACUCCAAGUCAGUAUGACCAGACAUGUUCGUGGAGGGUCGGUAGUGCGAGGCACACUUGAAACCACUAUCUCCUUAAUUUUAAGACAUCACACUGAGCUUGGAUGAGCCUAAUUGAACAAUUGAUGAUGGAAAAUCCGCUAUAGGAUAAAAGACUUAACUGGAACCACGUUGGCGAUCCUCGUUGAGGAUGCAAGGCCGUACGUCAUCUUCACUUAUAAGAGACCAAAACGGCACAAUCUAACCAUGUAGAUUGUAAAUAUGUCAUGCUUCUAAGGACGAUGUAAAAAUGUACAUCUUGUUUGUAAAUCAUUACGAACCAUAAGAGACGAAUAAUUUCCUAACUUCGAAAAAAAUCUCAAGGCAUUCAUUAUUGCUAAUGUGAGUAUAUAUCGAGGUCUCGAAUAAACAAAUGACAUCGAUACGACGUCCUAUUACAUAUAGCUUGGAAAGAAAAUCAAUAUCUAGCCAAUGACGUCAAAGUCAGGGGCAUCUAGAGCUGGAUCCGAAUUUUUAAAAUCUGCAAUCAUAAGGACGUUCUUAUCCUCAUUUAGAUUUUCCGUACCUUUUUGCAUGCAUUCAUGGUUUGAGGAUGAGCUCGACAACUCCUCAACUAGUGAUCUGGAGAUCCACACAGUUGCAUUGUUCGGAGCUGACAUGAGUAGUUUUAACAUAUUGGUGUCUAGAUCAGGAGUGUCGCCAUUAUGCAGCACCUCCCCCUUUUUUCUAGACUUCGGCGCGGCUUCUUUACCGUUGCCAUGACCCACAUUGCCUUUACCACACUAGGGGUUAAUCCCACAUGCACAAGCUAAUACGUUUAUCUCAUUAACGUUUAUGCAAUUCCGCUAAAGAUUCUGGAUCAGGUUCUGGAUCAGGACGCCACGGAAUAUCAUCGACAAUAUGUAGUCAAAUAAGGUGGUAAGCAAUCCGUUUGACUUAAUAACUCACUUAAUAACUGAACAAGUUGAGUUAGAUUGACGUUUCAAUCCCGUUUGACUUAAUAACUCAACAAGUUGAGUUAGAUUGACGUUUCAAGAAACACUCCAUAAGUGCAUUCCACAGUAUUUUGUGGUCAUUACUUUUUACACAGAUUGAGAUUUAAGGUUUUUGUCGAUGUGGCGCUUCAAAACUUUGAGUGCGUGAGAUGUGAAAUCUCGGCAUCUAGGCUUGUUAGUCUAGGGGUUAAAACAUGUGGUUUAAUCUUUUUCAAUAAAAAAGUUCCACAUAUACCAAAUGAAGAUUCGCUUUGGGCAUUGAUUACGUCAAAACUCAGAUGAGCAGAAUGUUACGUUACUCUUGCAUACAAAACCAAGCUGUUAUGAGACUCGAUAGAGGUCACAAAUGAUGCUUUUUAAUGGUUUGUCCUACGGAUUGAUCACACACAAUCCGAAAAAGCCGCGAAUUGAUCAAACACAAUUCGGAAAAAGACCUCGGACUGAUCAAACACAAUCUGGAGAAAGGUUAGGGUUGAUCACACACAACCCGGACAAGAAAAUAAGAGUGAUCAAAGACACUCUUGACCCGCGAAUAAAAUUCCAGGAUUUUUACCUGCACGCACAAAAUCCCAAGCAUAAAAUGAAGAUGGAGAAGGGAGGAAAAGAUUUUAUCCUCCCCGAAUUAUUAAACUUGGAAAAGUUUAGGGUAUCAAAACAUACAUUUCAAAACUUUAAACGCUUGAAGAAGUCAAAAAAUUGUAGUCAAAGGAAACCAAGAAUCGUCGGCGAGCGACUGACAAGGGAUUGACAGUCGGUGAUGUCGGACGGCGGCCGGGAAAAUAGGCGGCGGCAGCGGUCGAACAUAAGAGCUGAAAAACCCUUUUUAGGGUUUCGGAAAACAAAUGGUGGGCUAUUGGCUCUCGGGUUAGAACAAAUUGUAUGAUAACGUGAUGAAGUAUAAACGAUAGAGACAAAGAGAUCUAGUAAGAGAAUAGAGAAUCAUUAUCUUAUUCAUUGAUAGAAACCUUUUAUAUAGAGAGCUGAGAAAUGUUUUUUUAGGGUUUCAGAAAACAAAUGAUGGGCAAUUGGCUCUCGGGUUAGAACAAAGUGCAUGAUAACGUGAUGAAGUAUAAACGGUAGAGACAAAAAGAUCUAGUAAGAGAAUAAAGAAUCAUCAUUUUAUUCAUUGAUACGAGCCUUUUAUAUAAGGAAUUAUAAAGUACCAAUAUAGUAAUGAUAAGGAAUACAUAGUCAUAAUCUAAUUACAUAUCAUGUUGGCAUAAGGCCAAAACACACAUAUGGAAUAUCCUAGAACAGAUAUAUGAUUAUUGGAGUAAAAAGAAGAAAUUUUAUUGUGUUACCGUAGGACCAUGUGGCUUCUGACGUGGUUCUUCACUUCAUUCAAAUUUUAACGCGUGGAUUUUUAUGAAAAACUAUUUUAGCUAUUUUGUCAAUGUCCUUGCUUUUUUAUUCCCUAUACCCUAUACCUUAUUAAACCCUAAACCCUAACCCUAUACCCUAAACCCAAUUUUAGGUUUCUUCUUUUUAGGUAUAUUAUCAUAUCAUGCCCAACUUAAUAGGUAUAUUAGAAAUGUAAGUUAAGAGUAAAAUGUUAUCUCGAUCAAGAUGAGAAAUGAUAUAAUAAUAUACCUAAAAAAUUUUGAUUGGGGUUUUUCCAAUUAUGUUGAUCUCUCUAUCUGUUAGUUUCAUUGUUGUUUUGGAUUUUUGUUGGGAAUCAUAAGAAUACGUAGUUGCAGAAAUUGAAAUUUUGAUCGGCUGUAUGAUGAUCCAUUUUCUUGAAUGGUAUUACCAAUAAUAGAGGAUAUGCGUUUCGUUCAAAUCAAUUAAUAAAGGUUGAGGUUCGUGUCACGCCCCCAAAUUCAAGGCCAAUAUUAUACUGAAAUAUGGCUCGUGAAUUUGUGACGUGAGCCAUAACAUAAUAAUAAAACUUGAAACUAAGACAAUAGUUAUGAGUAAAACUUUCAAUUGAUAUAACAAAGAUUCUUUUACAUCAAUUGAGAUUAUCGAUAAAUUUUGUAAACACAAAUAAAGAUUUAUUGUGAUGAGAUAAAAGUAGAUCGAAAUAUAAAACAUUCUUUGUUAAGUUUACGUCGUUUCACCCCGUCCCCAAGAAUAUACUCGUUACCUGAAAAACAUAAAUGUGUAGCAUCAUGAGUUACACUAACUCAGUAAGUAUAGACUACAGUCUUAUAUUAAUUUGUCUUACAAAAUGAUGCAAAUUGAAUAACGAAGUAAAAAUGAUAAAAGAAUCAAUUAUUAAUGCACAUUGAAUAUAAUCCCCUUUGAAUACCAAAUAUCAUAACAUCAUUUACCAAAACGUCAAAUGCAGCAUCAAUAGAUGAAUUAACUCAUAAAGGUGCACGUAUACUCAAUUAUCUUUUCACCUAGCAUCAUAAGGUAUUAAUAAUAUCGCAAACUGUUCAAUCAAAAUAAUAUACUUAUCUUCUCAGUGAAUAUUUCAGAGUAAUUGGUAACAAAUCCAAAAAAUCCACGUGCUAGGUCCACUAUAUCAAAGCACCGGUAAGCCGCAGCAUACUAAGGCCACUUGCCAAAGCAUGUAUACUCAAGGUUUGACACUUCCAUCCCAAUGAGUAUAAUAAUGCACUAUCUGAAGGGACUAGGGCCCACAACUAACUUCCACAUAAAACACUUUACCAGUAAUUCACUUGAGCACGGGGGUAGUACCAUUCACCCGGCUCCAUAACUUCUCAAAUAUAAUCAAAUUCACAAAUACAAUCUUUAUGAGCUAUAGAUCGUAUCAUAUGUAUAUGUACACAAAUACAUAAAUACACAUAUAUACAUAAGAAUAUUUCAUAAUGAAUGCUCAAAAGGAUAGUGAUAACCGAAUUACUGAUGCACAUAAUGUUGCCAACUUGCCAUGCUCCCAAAGAGGACUUGUGGUUAAAUCAAUUAUAGUUGAACUGUGUGGUCCAGGUUAAGAAUUUGGCAACAAAACUCAAAAUUACCCAUUCUAAUUAUUUCUUGUUCGCUAUUUCAGAUUAGAGGUGCAUUUUCUAAACAACUCAAAUAAGCAGACACUAGAGAUGCUUGCCUCUUCCUUAAUUGCGUGAAUAAUUUCUUCAUUUUUGUUUCGAACUGAACAGGUAACAGAUUCAAAGCUAAUGAAUGCCAGCUCUGUCUACCCUGAAAACACUCCGACACAAAAGAACGAUACUUUUUUUGGACAAUCUUUGAGAAUUUUUUUUCUGAAGGUGAGCCACCUUCUUUCCUUCCAUCUCUUUAAUGUCAGUUAACUGAAUUAGAUCAUUGUUAGUUUACCUGAGUAUGUUCAAUUUGCUAUUUAUGAACAGAAUGCUGUGAGCUCAACAGUUCCUGGUGGUCCUAAUGUGACAUGCAGCACAGCAAAAGCUGUGGAGUGGGAUGCGGUAUAGUCCAAGAACCCUGAUCCAUCUAGUCAUGCUGCGCUUGGUAUACAUGCUACACUGCUACAGAAGUGGUUGCAGAGAAACUGGCUGUAGUAGUUUGAAUGGGAUAAAAAUGGUACUGAAUUUUGCAAAUGCUUUUGUCCUGGAAGUUAGGUUGACUAUUAAACAAUAUCAGAUGAUAUAUAUUCUGAUUCUGUAGGUAGUUUAUACAACCAGAAGGGAAUCCGUCAUGACUGUUGGUAGUUUAUACAACUAGGGAGGCCUUGCUAUUGUCUCUUAGACGAGACCAGAGUUGUUGAUGCUUAUAUUUUCAAUGUGUAAUUUUCUUUGACCAUGACAGGAUUAUGUUUUUGCUGAAUGAAGUUCUGAUUUCUCCAUUUACUUAGAUUACACUUCUUUUUGUGCCACAAUAGAAAUUCUAAAUUCAACUGGAUACCUAGAGUAGAAUCAGAUUCAGAUUUUAUGUUAUGUGAACCGGCCCAAUGUAUGUUAUGGAUAUAGACUAAGAGAAAGGGUACAAAGUCUUUUGAGAACUUAUGUCAAUAUAUUGUACAUUAUCCAAAUGUAUAUUAUGGAUAGACUAAGAGAAAGGGUACAAAGUCUUUUGAGAACUUAUGUCAAUAUAUUGUACAUUAUCCAAAUGUAUAUUAUGGACUUGUAUCAAUUUGAAGGAAUAACAAUUUAACGAGAAACAGAAGCAAGAUGAGUAUCCAAUGGAAACUUCAGUUGUAACCUAAUUGAUAACUUCAAAUAUAUUGUACAUUGCCAAAUCUCAGUUAGAACACUGAAUUAAAAACAAAAAAACAAAUUUGGUCAAAGAAGCAACAAAAUAACAGAUUUGGUCAAACAAGCUUUAUUGAUACUUGAAAGAGUCUGCAUUUUGCAACUUACAUAUACCCUCUAAUAAUCUCUUCGAGCUCCUUCCAACAUAAAUGUGAUCACGAGUUUUUUCCCUAAUACAAUCAACCAAUUCGCUUCUAAUAUGACUUAAGGUUUUAGGAAAAAAUGGUCUAGCAUUUUUGGUGCUUAGGUACUCGUACACUCUUUCAGCAUCCUUUUCUUUGUCCAACACAAUACGAGUUAUAUAAUAAUUAGCCUUCUUUGCUAUGAUGUUACACAUCUUGUACUCUUCGGUGUUCACUACACUUGUUGACCUGCAAAUUAAAACAAGACCAUUCAUUUAACAUAUAUAUUUAUAUAAUGUAGUUUAUUUACUUUUAAUAAGAUGGUUUAUAGUUAUAUACCAGAGGUCCCUUAUGAGAGCGAGGAUCUCAUCAUCACUAAAUAUAGGGCCGAUGCUUGUAGAAUACAUCAUGAACAUAGUUGAUUUUUCAUCCUGAUCACUUGGGUUAUAAAGUGCAUUAUAAACAUCUAAAACCUGAUACGUAUUAGAAAUGCAACCAUCCUUAUGCACGAAUAUCACUGUAACAACACAAUUAUGAAAAAUAAGUGAGAUAAACAUUAAAAAAAGUUUAUAGAACCAUUCAAUGCACGAAUAUCACUAUUUGACUUUAAUGCAAUCUAAUUCAACAAUCUGAACCAUUCAUUCUUUACAUGACUAUGCAAUAAUCAUCAAUAUAAAUUGUUGGUCAGAUCAAUAUCGGGUCAUUUAGGUGUGCAAACAAAUUCAAUGUAUCACAUUAAAUUGAAAUGAGAAUUCUGAUUAUCAUAUGAUUAAACUGAUUUCACUAUUUGCUUUUAAAAUUCUUAUUAAACUACAUGAAAAAUCAAGAAUGAAUAGUUCCCACUAUUAAAUUACUUAAUAAAAAUAUAAAAUUCUGGAAACACAUAUUUCACAUACCUUUCAAAUAUCCACCGGUGUCACGGUCUUGGAAACUGCUUUCCAUUAGAGCUUGCAGAGUGAUAGUGGUACCAAAUUCUUCAGACAUGUUAGGAUUACCCUUCCUAGCAUAAGAAAUUCACUUUAAUAUCAUUGUAGCUGAAGAACAAACCAAAUUUGCCCAAAAACAGAAGAUAUCCCCAACCAAAACAUGAAACUUUAAAAUUUACAAAACUAGCACAAAAGAAUAAAUAUGUACCUUAUAUUGAGACAUUUUAUAGCAUAAAAACAACCAGAUCCUAUUGCAAUCAUUGGCCCAUUGUGAAUCUCUACUUUUUUACCACUAUAGGUUACACCAAAAAUUUGAAAGCCCUACAAUAAGAGUGGGAUGAGUAUACAAAAUUUAAAAUAAACAUUUUUCAAAAAGAAAAAAAAAUAACACAAGACUAAGCCUUUUAAGUAAAAAUUGUAGUCACCUUUUGUUCCUGAUAUCCGGCAACAAUUAUGCCAAAUGCGCCGCACUCUGUCCUCCGAUUUUUGCGAUCUUUCCUUCGGAAGCCUUUUAAGUAAUCUUCUGCAUAAUUCUUCGCAUCUUCCACUGAUUUCGGUCCCUAUGAUAUUUAACAAUUAGCAUUUCUCUAUUUUUUCUUCAGAUUACAACAAAUAAGGCAGUAUGAGAUCUUACCCGCCGAAGCAAAUCUUCGUACAUUUCAUGCCAUUGUUUGACAUCUCCCAUUAAAGUACAAUAUAUUUUAGGCUUGGAACAUAAUUGAAACAUUUUGACUCCCUCAUCUGUUGCUGAAAUGGUUGAUAAAUGAACACAUCAAUAUUAUAUCAAAAAUAAAAAUUAUUUAGACGAACCUAUUAAAGAAAGAGACCAAUUAGCACACAUGCAUUUGUCAAGAGGCUAGUGAAAUCACCAUUAGUUGUAGUGAAUGAUCUAAUUUAACAAUAACAAAUUAGUAAUUUGAUAUAAUAUUCAGUUAGAAAAUCAAGAAAAAUCACUUAACGUGGGCAACAACAUUCAAGGUGCAAUUGCAGAUAUUUUUAUCAAAUCUUUUCAAAAUGAUGAUUUCCUUCUAGGAGAAAAAAAAAAAAAAAAAAAAAAAAGAAAAGAGAGAGAGAGGAAGAAAUACAUGAUUGAGCAUUUAUUAAGAGAUCAGAUUUAGUAUAAAACCAUAGGAAAAAAAUAACACAAAAAAAAAAGGAAAAAGAAUGAAGAACUUUACCCAGUUCGCUAUCUUCUUUGCCGAGCUCAUCCUUGAUCUGUAAUGUAAUCCUAGCAUCAUUGGCGAGUAUAAUUCCAUCUUUACACAAUACAGCAAUAUCCGUUGUUCCAUAGAAGUGUUGACCCAUUGCAACAAAAACUCAACCUUUAAAAAAUAAACAAGAAAUAAUUAGCUUUUAAGAUUUAAUAUCUGAGGAAAACUGAAAUAGAAACCAACCAUACUAAAAAUAGAAGCAAGAACAAUGUGCUGAUUCAUAUUAAGAAUAAUGUCCACAUUGUCUGGUUCAAGUAACAUAUAAAGGCAUGACCAGCCAUUCACAAGAAUAACGUCUAGUUCAGUAGCAUUCCACAUUAUUAUUAUAUUGGCAUGAUUGGUUUUCUACUAGAAUUGAAUGUUUGAGCAAAUAGAAGGCUCCCUCAUUUGAAACCAAGUCAGCAAGCACACAAAAUGGACAAGAUAAGAGUCAGUGGCGGAUCCAGGAUCCAAUAGUUAUCUAGGCUAAUUUUCAAAGUGCACAAAUAUUUAUGUACGGGGAAUCUAGAGAGGCUACACAAUUUUUUUUAGUAUGGCUUCGUAGAUUAGACUCAGAGCUCAAUGACAAGUAACUAAAAUAAAAUUUUCAAAGAUUUAUAGAAACAAAACAGUAGCACAACAGAAAUUCACAAAUUAAAAGGAGGCUCCAUAUAUUUCACAACCAGAUAAAUUGAAAUAAUAAUAAUGUUCUUGAUCAGAACUCAAUACGACAAACGCACCCAAAUAAAAGUACCACAUAAAUUGGAGAAAGCACAACUGCAGAGCAACAUACUUGAGGUAUCCGGAAAGGAUCUAUGUGAUUGAUGCAACUGGUUUGCUAGUGCUAAUGCUAUUAGAGAUUUGAGAGGCCGAGAAUCACUUUGUAACCAGCAACUCAUCCACUAUGGAUUCGCAAAAUUUAUUCAUGCAUACAACAAGGGGAACUUGUCGCCAUUACUCUUAAGUGUCUUAGCAUCAAAAUUGAAAAACCCCAAUUGAAAAAAAAAAAAAAAAAAAAAAAAAAAAAAAAACCAAAAAAUUCAAGAAUGAAAAACUAAAGAGAAACAGUGAAUGGAUGUUAAGAAUUUGAUACCUGGGCUCUGAUGUUGAUUGAAAAACACGGAAGAGGGACAAAUGAGAAGAGAAGAACUGAGAGGAGAAAGGUUGUGCGCCUGGGCCGUCUGUGCUGAGCGGAGAAGAGCGUUUGUGUGCGGCGAAGGGAACUUACGAAGUGAAUACUAACCUAACUGUGCUAACCUAUUUCUUUUUUCUUUCUUCUUUCUCAGGUAAUGGCCCGCAAGUAUAUAUCCCUACUUCAUGGCUUUCGGCCCAAACAUCUCUCUAGGCAAAGCCCAUAGAGUUAAUAAUACAUCUAUCCGCCCCAUCAAGAGUAUUUUGGUACGCGGGACUGCCUUAGAUCAGAGAUGGCAACGGGUAAGGUAGGGUAGGAAUUUUAAGGAAUCAAAAUACCAUACCCGUUUCCUUAUUCAUUUCUCAUCCAUGUACCCGUCUCACUCCCCUUAAUUAGAUAAUGGAGAUUCCCUAUACCCGUCUCCUUUGGGGAUUAUGUUCACAUACCCACCUUGAUUUCUGUUAACAAUUAUAUAAUAAUUAAUUUUUUAAAAUAGUUACGAAAUAUAAAAAUAUGAAAAUAAAUCAAAUACAUAUAUAAAUACGUUUUUUGAUUCAAUCCAACAAAAAUGAAUACAAGUCUCGGUUAAAAAAGAAGGUUUUAUAAAUAUUCAUUAAGAAAAUCAUAGUAAAAAAAUAUUACAAAAGAUUUUACAUAAAUAUCUAUUUAUAAUGAAUUAUAAAGUAUAAUGACAAAGAGAUCUAGUAAGAGAAUAGAGAAUCAUCAUCUUAUUUAUUGAUAGGAGUUUUUUAUAUAGAGAAUUACAAUGUACCAAUAUUGUAAUGAUAAAGAAUAUAUAGUCAUACUCUAACUACAUAUCCUGAUGGCAUAAGGACAAGGCACACAUAUGAAAUAUCCUAAAACACUCCCCCUUAAGCCGCGCACCGGUAUGCCGGUGGUGCUGAUAUAUUGUCUCGUUAAAAACCUCAUCAAGUAACAAAAACCCUGUGGGAGAAAAACUAAACUUUGUUCGUAGGAGAAAAAGAGUACAACGCACCCUUCAUAUUUGAUCAUGACAUGUAUGUCUGUGCUAGACUCCCCCUAGAGUUUGCAUCUCCCCUUGAUCUUUAUAUCAAUCAUAGGGCUCUUUUUGAUUUUUACUAAUCAUGAAAAUAUAAACAACUUGGCAUGUUAAUGUUCUUUAACAUGUCUUUAAAUGUGGCAUUGGGCAAUAAUUAACUAGAUCAUGUCGUAUAGACCUCAAACAUAAUCUUUUACACUUAGAUCUUGAGGAGAAAGCCGCUUGUGAACUCAAAAUAUAAGUUUGCGCUGGAAAUCAGAUUUCUACGUAGCCUGACCAUGAGGUACUAGAAAAGUCGUAACUUUCCCUAGGAAAUAUAUCAAGACCCACCUCGAAUUUUACCCUAAAACCCGGAGUAAGUCCUGCGGGGACCACUCCCAAGGAAAGAUUUACCGAAAAAUUGGCAAAACCUCCCUUGAAAAUAGACAACCCUUACCUGAAAAAUUUCAAAUUUUCACUCCUACUAACACACAUCCAACCUUAACUCCUGGAGCCAUCCGCUCCCCACAAACACAACCACCACAUAAUCAACAAUACAUCAACAUCCAAACAUCACAUAGAUAUCCAGCUUAAACAUUAAACCUUAUCCUUCAGAUACUCUAAGCAUAAAUCAACAAACCGAACACACCACCGAAAUAAUUUACAUUAAUCCCAAAGUAUUCAAAGCUACUAGACACUAGCGGAAGCAAGAAAACACGGGUAGGUUAAACAGGUAACCUACUGGUGAAAAGUGGCGGAAAUGCGGGUGACUAUGUCUCGUCUCCUACUAGAUCCAACUCGAACUCUGCAAACUGGGCAAUUUAAAACGAAGGGCCCAGGGGAAAACAUUUAAUAACGUUAGAGUGAAUGAACAAAAAUAAAUUAAUAAAUAAAAUAUUUAUGUUUCCCCAAACCAAUUUCCAAUGAAAAAUCGAAUGCAUGCCGCAACUCUGCAGACUGGGCAAUUUAAAACGAAGGGCCCAGGGGAAAAUAUUUAAUAACGUUAGAGUGAAUGGACAAAAAUAAAUUAAUAAAUAAAAUAUUUAUGUUUCCCCAAACCAAUUUCUAAGGAAAAAUCGAAUGCAUGCCGCAAGCGAUAAAACUUUUAUCUCAUAAAAUAUCGAGUCACUCAGACUCUAUAAUAUAUGUAUGUAUUUACGCACGUCCAUACUCCCUAUAUAAAUUCAUGGGUCUAUAUACGGCUACUACGCUCGCGUCCAACGCUCACGUCCAACGCUCACGUCACGCCUUAAUGCGGUGCUACACUACGUCAUUAAGGUGGACAGACGGGUGUAUAAAUAUGUGCCCAUACCCCCUAUAUGAAUUAAACACUCAUAUAAGGUUACUACGCUCACGUCCAACGCUCACGUCACACCAUAAUACGGCUAUAUGCUACGCCAUUAAUGUGGACAGACACAUAUGGCUAGCUAGCAUUUAUAUACAUACUCUCCUCAAUAUACAUAUUUAUACUCACCGAAAAAUCCUAUUUUUCGGUAACUCUCCAAGAGAAAUAAAAGCGUCAAAAUUAAAUGACGUCAAAACUUUAACAAUUUUAAAUGCUCAACCAAAACCAUAGCAUGCAUAAUAUUUAAAAUAAAAGUCCACUCACAAAUUAGGCCUAAGCUUGAUGUCACUCUGGGGCCUCGUCUGCUCGAGCGUCCUCACGUCCUAUUCCAAAUAUAAUAUUAAUUUCCCGACCGAAAUUCCAAUACUUACUCAAAAAUAGGCAAAAUAAAUAUGAGCCGUAACCAUGCUCAUUCUCGCCUAACUUCGAUAUUCCUAAAUCGAAAUGAUCCAAACUUUAAUACCAAAAACGGAAGCCGCAACACAAUCUCCCACAGAUUUAACGACUUAGAUCCUACGGCCGAAUUCUACAUUAAUUAACCGCCAAAAAUAACAAACUUUGGAAAUUCACAAACCUAACCAAAACUCCUCCAAAAAUUCCAUAAUUCACAUCAAUAAACUCCCCUUAAUUUUCCACAUUUAAAACCAUAAAAAUCUCCCACACAGCGGCGGCGGCCGGAGGCCGAUUCCGACGACCUCCAAUACCUAAGAAAAUUUGACAGCAUCUUCCUCUCAACUCACUCUACAACUUCCUUAACUAGCACAACACCUAAUUCCAAGCCUAACUAGGUCAAUCGAGCAAAAACAUCAUAAAAGCCAUAGAAAAUUCUACUCCACAUUUCUCCUUACCUAGCUCAAGGGAGGAUGAGACCUUUGGAGGAGUUGCUGCAUGGGAGGAGGGCUCUCUUUUGAGCCAAGCAGCUCCGGCUAUGGCGGACGGAGGAGGAAGUUCCGGCGAGAAAACCACCACAACAGCCGGACCUUUUGGGGGAGAGAACUCCUUCACGGCGGAGCUAGGGCGGCUCUCACCGGCCUAUAAUGGAAGCUGGGUCGGAGGCCGACCUUUUGGGACUGGUGCGGCAGUCUCAGGCGGCCGGACGGCGGCGGACAGGUGGCCGGAAGAUCAGGCAGCGGGAGGACUCGGAGGGGGGGGGGGGGGGGGGGGGUGGGGAAGAGAGAGAACCAGGAAGAAAAAGAGGGAAGAGAGAAAAAAAAGGAUUUGGGCCUCUACACACGGUCCAAACAUCCUUAUCACCACACCCAAAAAAUAAACCCGACUCCAAAAAAUUUACACCCCAAAAAUAAUACCCUAAUAAAAAUUACAUUUUACUAGCUAAAAUUUACCAUUUUUACCGUCAUUAAUAUUUCCUCCUACGAAUAAUCCUCCGAAAAUAACCGUCCCCCAAACCCCUCUAGGGACCAAUUACACUAAAACCUCAAUGACGGAGACGGUAAAAUUCUUAUUAUAACCAAGCUAGUAAAUAAGGUAAAAAUUUAAGAGUCGGGAUGUGACAAAAUACGUAUGAACGAACUGUAAACGGUUUUGGAAACUAGACUCAUUUAUCUUUCCAAUAGUAUAUUACAGACAUUCUCUUUCGUCAGGAGUUAUUCACAAAGUCCGGUUGAAGUUGAUUGUUUUGCCGAAAUCAGAUUCUAGGACUGAUUCGUCCUACUUUACGAAAAUGGCCAUAACUCACUCAAGAUGAUAGAUAUGAUCAAAUGGUUGGUGUCCCUGGAAAGUAGACACAUAGACCUUUCCAAUGGUACCAAUUUCACUAUUUUCCAGUAAGCGAGAUUUCCUGUAGAUCCCGUGGAAUUUGACCUACGAAACUUAGUAGAUUUUGAUUUCGCUUUUGAUGUGUCUUUCUUAUGUAGGGAUAGAAUAACCCUCGACCUUUCAUACCAUUAAGUAUUUAAAAAAUUGAAAAAAGGAGUUACUGCCAUUACAAUGGCGUUGCAUGGAUGCAUAGCUACACUAAGCUUUACAAUUUUUCAUAGCGAAUGAGAUGUCAAAUCUUUCGUAUUAUCUUGAGUACAUUGAUGCGUCUUAUUAUACUUAGAUGGGAAUUCCAUCUCUUAACACAUAUUUGUCAUAUUUUUUUAGACAAAACAACAGAUCUCUCUUUAGAGUAAAGACUUUCGCUAAUGAUGGGGUAUAUGUAGGCCUCACUAGUUAUAGAGCACCUAAGCCGAUUGAUGGAAAAUCAUCAUCAAUACAGUCAUCGAGUGCCUUAUCGAGACCGUGUCUUCCCAAAAUCUUUUUCAUUCUAACUUCGGAUGUUGACACAUAUUGGCAUCUCUUGAUCCAUCAAGAGUCCAUGUAAAUCGGAAAUGAACACGCAAAGACAUAAUUCACCAUAUCCCUUCUGAAUCAAGUAGAGUCCAUGUGUGUUUCAAUACCUUUAGCAAAUGCGUGCUCCUGUGGUCUGAAGUCAUCUGAUUCAGAUGAAUGAAAUCCGUUUAAGAUCUUCUUGUAUAUCUCAGAUCUCAUAGAGAUGUUAUUAUGACCACAUUCAUAGGCUACAUGUUCAGUUAUUCGGAAACUACCAAACUGACAAAGUAGUGGAGUGCAAUGACAUCCAUUAUGAGAGCAUAUCUCAUUGUAGUCGACCCUAGUGCGUGUUAGUGGGAGACCUUGCGCCAUAAGGUGAGUCUAAGCUCUUAUUCUCACUACGCUAUCUAAUAAAGGCAUAGUUGAUAGGGUUUAACUUGCGGUGUCGGCAUCACCUGCCCAAUGACCUAUCUCUUUGUUAAUGCUGGAUCGCAUCUUUCCAUUAGACCAAUCAACUGAGUUGAUAUCCAUCAACGAAUGGUGGUUCGAUAGUAGACUCAUUAUCACACGUCCUCAUGUACACUACUAGUGUAAUACUUGUAGAGAUCUCUAUAUGGAUUGGAUUUGACAUUGAGGCGUCCCCCAAUGAUAAUCACAAUUCAGAGUUUAUGAGACGGAUUUAAGUAUAAUUGAUCAAUGGAUCAGGUCGUGUCAAUCUCAUUUUCUUCCUAGUGCGAGAAAAUAUCAAACCUAAGAGCCUCCCUCCUUUUAGAAAUAAUAAAUAAAUAUUUUGGAAAUAAGUAUCGAACCUAAUGGCCUUGUGUGUAAUACCCGGAUAAUUUAGAAAUAAUAAAUAAAUAUUUUAUAUAAAAAUUAAUUAAAAAAAUUAAUUUGGAAAAGUCGAGAAGAUAUGAGAAAGGAGGGUUCUUCAUAUNNNNNNNNNNNNNNNNNNNNNNNNNNNNNNNNNNNNNNNNNNNNNNNNNNNNNNNNNNNNNNNNNNNNNNNNNNNNNNNNNNNNNNNNNNNNNNNNNNNNNNNNNNNNNNNNNNNNNNNNNNNNNNNNNNNNNNNNNNNNNNNNNNNNNNNNNNNNNNNNNNNNNNNNNNNNNNNNNNNNNNNNNNNNNNNNNNNNNNNNNNNNNNNNNNNNNNNNNNNNNNNNNNNNNNNNNNNNNNNNNNNNNNNNNNNNNNNNNNNNNNNNNNNNNNNNNNNNNNNNNNNNNNNNNNNNNNNNNNNNNNNNNNNNNNNNNNNNNNNNNNNNNNNNNNNNNNNNNNNNNNNNNNNNNNNNNNNNNNNNNNNNNNNNNNNNNNNCUCUCUCUCUCUCUCUCUCUCUCUCUCUCUCUCUCUCUCUCUCUCUCUCUCUCUCUCUCUCUCUCUCUCUCUCUCUCUUAAGCAUCUGCAUAUAUUUAUUAAUUUGGUUGUUUGAUACAUUUUACCUAUUCAUUCUGGGUAGGGCACUGGAUACAUUUUACCUAUACAUUUUACCAUAGAGGGUGGCUAGGACACUAGUUAUGCGCACCAAUUUGCCUAUAUCUGCUUGGGGUUAUGCAAUAUCGCACGCAACUUUACUUAUUCAUUUUUAGGCCCACUGUCAGCCAACCAUUUCAUGCGUACCAGUUGGAAACUGGACAUGAGCCUGAGAUUUACACAUUUGGUUGUGCAGCAUAUGUGCCUAUUGCGCUCCCACAACACAUCAAAAUGGGUCACCAAGAACGAAUAUGUAUAUCUGUUGGAUACGAACCUCUAACAACUAUCCGAUAUUCGGAACCUUUACAGGCAAUCUCACCACUUGAUUUGCAUAUUGUCACUUUGAAGAGACAGUCUUCCGAUCUUGUCGUUAGGGGGAGAUAAAGAAAAAGAAUUUUCUAUGGGAACGACAAGAAUUGUCGUGGUUGUCCCCACUCUGUCUCAUCCAAAUCCCCACAUAGUCAAUAUCUAGAACAUAACAGUUUCAAUGCUUGAUGCGGUUAAAGAUAUUGUCAAAGUGACGAGAUCGUACAUACUAGCUGCAAAAGCCUGCAAGGUUAAAAGUCCCCAAUAAAGGCACGUUGCCGCAGAUAGAGGCGACGCAACCAUACUUAGUGGAGGUGUGGUUGAGGCCAUGGCUCCCUAAGGGAAUAAGAGGAGACCACUUGGUUCGAUCAAUACUUUCCUAAAGGAAUUAGGUGAGUAAGACACAACCUCAUCAAUGUAAAGAAUCUCUCUCAUGAGAUUGUCUCUGAUUACAGUUAUGUCCAUGAAUCAAUACUGGAGGACGCUCUGAUGUUUAAAAUGAUUUCAGAGACAAAAUCUCAAAAGAUUACGAGAGUACAUAAACAUUGAUGGUUCACACUGUUGCUCAAGGAAUUAUAGAGCACGAAGGUAUCGAACCACACUCUGUUGAAGAAUGUCAACCAAGAGCAUAUUGGCCUAUAUAAAAGUGCGAUUCAGGAAGAACUAGAUUCUCUGACAAAGAGACAGGUAUUUGGUUUGGUAGUGCUAACCUUACCAAGUGUAAAGCCUGUAGGACAUAAAUUAGUCAUUGUCAUAAAGCGUAACGAGAAGAAUGAAGUCCUAAAGGACAAGGCUCGCCUUGUGGCGCCAAGGUUUCUCGCAACGCUUUGGAUUGACAACGAGGAUAAAUAAUCUCCCAUAAUGGAAAUGCUGCUCAUCGAUGUGGUUACUACUUCUCUCCAUUGGGAUCUUGAUUGGGAGAUAUCCAUUAAAGUGCCCGAUGGCCUUAAACUAUCCAACUUAAGUAACACUAGCCUGCAUGUGUCUAAAAGAUUCUCAGGCAAUUUACAUGGACAAAAUGCAUAUUGUUAGCACUCCCAAUGAUCGGUCAAUGUUUGGAUGUAAAGGAAAAUCCAUUUCGUCCAAAGGAAGAUGACGAAGAAGGGUAGAGAAAUGAAAACUCUUCUCUAAAGUGCUAUAGGUGCAAUAUUGUACUUAGCCUAAUGAACACGACCGAGUAUUACAUUCUCAUUGAACUUGUCCAAGCGCCAACGCAGUGUCAUUGGAAGGUCUAAAUAACGUAUCCUAAUACCUAAAUGAACCAUUGACUUGAGUUCAUCCUAUCCCUAUAGAAAGACGAAAAGGAAUGCAGAUAGAAGUACAAUCCCCUAUAUGCAUCAAAACCUCAAACGAUGCUUUGGUGGUUUUUACUGUUAGGUAACUAUGAUCAAUAAGUCGUUCCUAAACUGGUUAUGUACGUAAUCGUCAAUGGGAACACGACGAUACAUUAUGAGAAACAUUAGUCUCUCCUCAAGAUUCAAGUAAAGCAAGUAAGGUCUGAGGACAAUAAGACAUACUUGUUUCUCAAAUUACAACUUAAAGCUAUAUCUGAAAAGCAUGUGAGAAACCUAGGAAUGCAAAGACGUUCCAAGCUUCCUUGAUUGAUGUAAGUAUCAAGGGAAGUAUAGACUUCAGGGGGAGUCUAACACACAUAGGUGCAUUGUAUGUCACUACCAGGUCAAGCACUCGGCCUGUUAGCUUUAUUCGUCGGCUAAAAUCUUAGCCGACGAGCCAUCGUCAGCUAAGACUUCGUCGGGAAAAGGUCGUCGGCGAAGACUUUAGCCGAUGAAAAAAAUUUUCGUCGGCUAUAGUCCCACAGUUUAGCCGAUGAAAAACAUGUCGUCGCUUUUUUUCCCAGACUUUAGCCGACGAAACAAUUAAGAUAUUCGUCGGCUAAAGUGUGUAAUAAACAAUUAAAAAAAUAACUAUAGCUGACGAAAUAUACUCGUCGGCUAAACCUUAUAAAAAAUUUAAAAAUAACUAUAGCCGACGAAAUAUACUAUAUUUCGUCUGCUAAACCUUAUAAAAAAAUUAAAAAAAUAACUAUAGCCGACGAAAUAUGCCAUAAUUCGUCGGCUAAACCAUAUAAAAAAAUUAAAAAUACUAUAGCCGACGAAUAUAGUAUUUAAAUAUCGUCGGCUAAAGUUGCUGGUUUUUGGAAGAAAAAAAACUGCAGAAACUUUCGGCCACCUCCAAUCACCACCAAAAUUUGACAGAAUCUUCCUCUCAACAUUUCGAACAACUUUCUAAAAGAAAUCGAAGCCCAAUCCUAAGCCUAAACAGGUCAAUGGAAUCAAAAUAUAAAAAUCCCCAAUUUUAAACCCUAAAAACUUCAAAUUUUCGAUUUUCUUCACACACACCGAAUCGAGCUACCAAAUUCUAGGGGAAUGUAGUACUAAUCAAACUCAACUUAUCCAUAUAUAGAACUCACCAAAUGGUGACCUGAGGAAGGAGAAAUUCGAUCGACACCGAAUCCGAACCGGCGGAGUUUUGGAGCUUGAUUUAUCCCUCACGGCGGCGCCACUCGAUACACCACCUGUCCAGCAAUGAAGUAGAGACGAUGGCGAAGCUUUUGGGACAAGUGUGGCGGUCUCCGGUGGCUUGACGGCGAAGCUAGGCCGAGAAGAAAAUCCGAAACUUUUUCUGAUUUUCUGACUUCUUACCAUCCACCUCCGGUAAAACUCCUACAUAAAGAACUUUACCCGACGAAAUUCUUUAUUUUCGUCGGCUAAACUCUUUUAAAAAUUUUGGUUGACCGCCAAAAAAAUUUGGUUGAAAAUUUUCAAAAUUUUGAAAAAUUUUCGACUUUAGCCGACGACUUUUCAUAUAUUUUCGUCGGCUAAAGUCCUUUGAAAAUUUUCUUCCAAAUUUGGUUUACCGCCAAAACUAUUUUGACCUUAGCCGACGACUUUUUUAAUAUCUCGUCAGUUAAACUCUAUAAAUUCACGAAAACGCUCAUAUCUCCCUCUAUAUUACGUAGUUUGGUCAAACCUUCCACACGAAAAACUUUCACGUAGAUGAGACGCAACCGCCUAUAUAAACAUUUUAAGACAUUUACCUUCCGACGAUAGGGCUCCCCAUAGGGAAUAAUAACUGUAAAUAGGGUUGACCGCUACUAUCGACACCGAGACGUUACCCGAUUUACGUGAUUUUUGAACCAUAGCCGUAUUUCACCAUUCUGAACACAUCUUAUUUCACAAGAUUUUUGAUAAUUUUGCUUCCUAUGUAGAGUUGGUUCACAAAGUUGUAUAACCUACUAAACAAGUUAUACAACAUUAGUAGACACGUUGUGAUUCCGAUGACUAAAAUUCACAAACCAAAAUUCGACCGUCAGAUAUGAUUAUUAUGACGAAAGAUGUCUAUGUUACAAAAUUCAACUGGAUCCGACAACGUUAAGGGCUCGAUCAAAACAGUCAACCCUAAUCCAUCGUCACUUAUCACACGAAAACGCUCAUAUCUCCCUCUAUAGUAGGUAGUUUGGUCAAACCUUCCACACAAAAAACUCUCACGUAAAUGAGACGCAACUGCCCAUAUAAAAGUUUUGAGACAUUUACCUUCCGACGAUAGGGCUCCCCAUAGGGAAUAAUAACGGUAAAUAGUAGACACGUGAUUCCGAUGACUAAAAUUCACAAACCAAAAUUCGACCAUCAAAUAUGAUCACUACGACGAAAGAUGUCUAUGGUAAAAAAUUCAACUGGAUUCGACAACGUUAAGGGCUCGAUCGAAACAGUCAACUCUAAUCAGAAAUAAGAAAACUGCAUUUUGAAGCCCUAAACGGACUCGGAUGGCCAAAAAGGCUCAUAUUUCAUGGUAAGAGCGAUGAGUUUGACUCGUAGGGCCGUUACGCUUCCAGAAAGGUAUCACAAUAGUCAAUCAGACACCGAACGCCAAAUCUGCAGCAUAGUGAAUAAUAAGGGUAAAUUACAUUGACCGCAACUAUCGGUUCCGAGACUUUACUGGAAUAUCGUGAUUUUUCAACCGUAGAUGUAUUUCACCAUUCUGGUCAUAUCUUAUUACACGACUUUUUUGCGUUUGAAGGUUCUACGUAUAGUUUUUUUUUCCCAGAUGAGUUGUUGUCCAGAUCUGCAAAUAUAAGGCACUUUAGCCGAUGAAAUUAUAUUUUUCGUCGGCUAAACUUUUAAAAAUUUCAUCAGCUAAAGUUCACAGACUAUAGCCGACAAAAAAAAUUAUUCAGCCGACGAAAUUUUAAUUUCGUCGGCUAAAGUUGAUCAUAGCCGACGAAAAUUUUAAAUUAGCCGACGAAGGAAAAUUUGGUCGGCUAAACGAAAAAAUAAUUCGUCGGCCUGGUUUUUUUAUUUUCGUCGGCUAAAGCCUUUCUUCUGGUAGUGCGUGCUGUUUUUCCCUUCGACUAAGAUUUAUUUUGUCCCAUUGGGUUUUGUUACUUGGCAAGGUUUUUAAUGAGGCAACACCCCACGCAUCGUUUUAACUUUGACUUGACACAAGGGGGAGUGUUGAAGGAAAAUACCUUAUGUGUGUCUUCGUCAAAGUAACUGACGAAAGCAAAUUAUGGAAUUAGUGAUCAAAGGAUAUAACCGCUCGAUCAGUUAUCAAUUAGUCAUUAUGUAUAUUGUUAUUAGCAUUGAAUUUCGUCAUUAUGUGCGUGUAAUUACCGUUGUAAUCAACCUCUAUAUAAAAAGGGUUGUUAAUGAAAUGAAUAGACCAAUUCCGAUUCUAUUUUUCCUAUAACAUGGAUUUGGUUUUAAUCCUAUAUUCCAACAAUUUAGUUUAUGUUACAGGAUAAAUAAAACGGAAGAGUGAAAUUAGGGAGAAUAUUGUUGUAUUUCAUUCAUAGAAUAAAUCUCUCUAUAUAUGGAGGAUACAAUAUAUAAAGAAAGUACAUAUAUUCCUAUUACAACAUUGGUAUCGAAUCUUAUUCUGAUUCUACUUUGACUAAGGCACACACUAGGAAAUCUAGCUAAUUUCCUUAAGCAUUCCCUAUGUUCCAUCUUAAAGUAAUAUGAUAUAUUCAAAUGCAUUCAAUGUUGUCUCAUUAAAAACCUUGCCAAGUAACAAUAAAACCUCAUGGGUAAAUAUAAUCUUGGUCGAAGGAACAAAAAGUGUACAACGCAUCAUUCACAUUUGAAUUCACAUUUGAAAGUGACUUAUGUAUCAGACUCCCCCUGAUUCUUACAAUCAUGAGAGCUUUAGAUCACUUAAACAUUCCAAUGCUUUUAACAUUUUUUCAAAUACGACCUUAGACAGUGAUCUAGUAAAUAGAUAUGUCAUAUUAUCCUCAUAUCUAACUUGUUUCACUUUGAUUAUGAGGAGAACUCGUUAUAGUUGAUCACUUACAUGAUAUAUUAUUGGUGUCGUCACUCCAAUCAAAAUUAUUCUUGAAAAAUAAAUACUCUAAUCAAAAUCUGCAACAUCAAUGUGUUCCAUGCCAGAGUUGAAGUGUGUAAUAGUGAGACUGGCAUCAAGAGGUUUGGGUUCUGAAAUCAUAUUUAAUUUUAAUUCUACUGAGCUGUUGGAAAAGCACUAAACGUCUUAGUUUUUCCAAAUACGCCAUGUUCUAUUUUCUAUUUUUCAUUUUUCUAUAAACACAAUUCGAUGUAAUGAGGAUGUUGUAUCCACACUCUACCCACAAGCUGGUGAAACCGUGAAACCGUGAAAUAAUACAUGUAACCUUUAUUUAUUAAUGAGAUUAAUAAACUUGUUCAAAAAUGUGCAAAAAGCAAAAUAGUUACAAAACAUAAAAAGAAAAAUUAAUAAAGAAAGCUUAUCUGUAUCUAUAGGAUACAACAUGUAAAAUGUGAAGUGCUGCAACGAGUUGAUGCCACUAAACUAAAAGGGCUCAAGAUUUGUCAUUAGAGGGAGCUGAAAAAGGACAAUAUAUCUUUUAUUUAUACCUGAAGAAGCAUAGAUCAAUGAGAAGCAAAAGCCAAAAUAGUUAUAUUAAAUUUACAAAUACUUGUGUCUGAUUCUCAAUCUUCAUAUUGCUUGUUUAAUGGGGAGAUUAAAUAAGAAAACACGUGUGCUUUCAAGCAAUGUAACCCAACAUGAAACAGAAAUUACCAAUUUCACAAAGCAACCCAGUUUUUUUAGUAGGCAGAAUAGGGUGAGAAGUUUUGGCAGACGGGCUGCAUUGUUGCUUAGCUGUAAAUAGAGCAAUAAAAGGGGAUUCCAGUAACAAGCAUAACAUAGCGCACUACUUCAAUUUAAACAGACAAUAUGAUUAGGAUUUAAACUGAAAUUCCUCAAUAUAAACAUCCACUAGUUAGUGAGAUCAGCAACUUCCUGGCGAAAUAACACCUGAGCAGUGACCAUUACCACAACGACAAGUCAACAUGUAGUAAGCAUUCUUAUGCACACAGACGGCGCGAAAUAACACGUCCAGCUAAACGGCCAUUUGUUUUCACCACCGUCUCAACAUGUCGUUUUUGUUUCCCUGCGAAAAUAAAAAUAGGUACUGAUGAGAUGACAAAAGCAAAUGAGCAGUAAUGAAGCAUAUUAUGUUUUAUAAGGAAGUUAGAUCUAGAUGGAUACAAUGACAUCGUAUAUGAUCUCACCAACAUAACUACUUAAAUACAGAACAACGACACAUACAUAAGUCUUGCAAAGAAAACAUCAUUGAACUGAGAAAUGUGAUGGUCUAUAUCAAUCCACAUAGACUAAAAUCUAUGACGACGCACGAAUCAUCCAUCUAUAAGUUUUCAAACAAAAAACUUAUGGGUGGAUAUUUGCCAGUAAGAUAUGCAUAAUCCAAAUCAACAAACUAAACAGAGGAAAAAUAUAAGAAAGAAGAACGACAGAAGCAAACUGAAAAUCUGAGAACUAAUUCACAGAUUUUCUGUCCUAAAAAGAUGAUACCGCGAUUUUUAGAAUUUUAAAGUAAAAAUUACCAAAAUCAAAAACCAGAAACUGUUAUUAACCAACAAACCAAAAAUGUAAAUGACCAGUAGCAUACCUUGAGACUUAAGUUUCUGUUUUUCAAGAUAUUCUUUUGCAUUGAAAUUCCCCAGUAUAUUCUUCCAUGACACCGGAUCGGCAGCAGCUUAUUCUUCUGGCGCAUCAUUGAUUGGAUUUGUGCAAAAUGGUUCCCAGUGGUCACCAUUGAUACCACAACGGGCACAAGUCAUGUAACCAAUUUGAUUGGUAAAACUUGGAUGGUAGGGACCUAUCCUACCCACCGAUAGCCAAGGAACAUAACCAUAUCCCUUCGGUAGAGGGCGCUUCUCAGUUUUGGCCAUUUUGACAGGGUGUCGGGGACAGGUGCAGCAGGUGCAGCGAGAAGAAUUUCGUUUUCGUUUACGUGACUUUUUAGAAGACGUUUGGGAUUCCCC